AAGAAAGAGAUCAGGCACAAGAAGGUGGUGCUGAGAAAGUUCCAUGAAAACUCAGAAGUCACCGCCUGCAUAUCAAACUUGAAUAACCAGGAGAGAUGUAACUUCGGCAUACUUUCAGCUGCCUUCCUCCUGCCCACACCGCAGGUUUUUCAGGUCCUUGCUUGAGCGUGCACUCACAGGCGUAAAUAAACGUGCUAUCAACAGCCUGCGUCAGCCAACCCAGCUAUUUAAGCGGGCUGGCAUCAGCAAACUCAGCUUCCAAAUCCAGGGCUUGUCUUUGCCACUGCCACGUAAGUAACUUUCAGAGGUUUGCCUUUAUUGCAGAGGAAUGAGAUUGUGUAGAAACUGGACUGAAAUGUUAUAGUUCCCAUAGUCACUAUUCUGCUGGGGAAGCAUAGAGGUGAAAGGGAGAAUAAAAGUUAAGAGUUAGUCCCAAGCAGGGAGCCAGAGAACAUUGCUGGGUGUAGUAUAUCAGACCCUUGCAAACAUGCAAGGGGUUGAGGUGGACUUGGAGCAAGGUAGAGUCCAUUUUGGCCUUUUGGCCAGAAGGUAAGAUGUUUUUCUUGCUCUCUCCUAUCUCUGGAAGCCACUUGGAAACCACUGUUUGUGUGACUGUGCCAGAUACAUAGGGAUUUAUCAUUUAGAAGCUGAUGUUGCUAUUAUUCAUCUCAGUCUAAAAUCAGACACAGUAUUAUUAAAAAUUUUUUGUGUGUUUUAUAUAGGGGGAUAAGAGGGGCUAUCUCUGGAUUAAGUAGAGGUGGUUCAAUUGUGAAUUUGCAGUGCUAUUUCUUGUUAGGUCCGGUUCUUAUAAUACUAAUUUACAACAAUGCAAACACUGAUCUUGCUUAAGGUAAAAAGGAAUCCCAUGCUCUGGGUUUUGAGGAAAUAUAGGUUUGUGAUAUUUGAGCACAAUGGGUAUCCAGGUAUUCGGGGAAUGUGCUAAACAAAGGGGAAUAAGAAUCAUUGACUAAAGAGGCACAACAUUCCACAUGACUUAGGUGAGGUCUUAAAGAGAAGGGCCAGGCAAAAAGUUCCUGUGGAGCUGCACUGCCACUCAACAGGCCUAUUGGAUCUUUAGCAAAGGAGGGAGAGUAUAAUCAGAGCAGGCAGAGAACAAAACAAAGGAGAGGGGCUAGGGAGGAGAGGGGACAGACAGUAGAGGAGUUACGAUUAGACAUCAUAUUUGUAAAAUAUAUAUAGGAUUAUAAUAGAACUAAAGCAUGACAUAAAUUCUAUAGUUCCUCCUUUUGGGUCAAGAAUCUGGCGGGGCGCCUGGGUGGCACAGUCAGUUGGGUGUCCAAUUUCAGGUGAUCUUGGGAUCAUGAUCUCGGGGUAGUGAGAUCGAGCCCCAAGUCAAGCUCCACUCUCUUUCUGCCCCUCCCCACCCCGGUCUCUCUCUCUCUUUCUCUUCUCUCUCUGAAAAAAAAAAAAAAAUCUAGUGAUUAAGAAUCGGUGAAAGCCAAGGACCUUGCCCAGGUAGUUGCCCCUGCCUCAACACAUACCUUGACACACAACACUCAUUUUCUGGAGCCCUAGAACGCCACGCACCCCAAAUGAAUGCAUUUAAGCUAAUGCAUUAUUUUUACACUGAGCUGAAGCUGCUGACUAGGAACCUACAGAGAAGCAGCAGGGGGUUGGACACCAAACUGAAGCUCACUUCUAAGGUCAUAAAGGUCUGAUUCCCAUCAAGCAAAUAAUAGCUAAAGGGUUUCUUGGGGCAAAGAUAAGUUGGGGUCCUGGAGGAAGAGAAAAGAAAUAAAAGGUAGAUCCUGUUCUCAAAAAGCUUGAUAUCUUAAGUAUAAGGACAUAAUAAGAACCUAGGCGAGGGGCUCCUGGGUGGCUCUGUUGGUUGAGCAUCCGACUUCGGCUCAGGUCAUGAUCUCACAAUUUGUGAGUUUGAGCCCAGUGUCAGGCUCUGUGCUGACAGUUCAGAGCCUGGAGCCUGCUUCGGAUUCUGUGUCUCCUUCUCUCUCUGCCCCUCACCCACUUGUGCUCAGUCUCUCUCUAUCUAAAAUAUAAAAAAAAUAUUUUUAAAAAAGAAGCCAAGUGAAAAAUAGUACAUAUUGUAUGAUUCCACUGGUAUGAAAUGAUAGAAAAUGCAAACUAUAGUAACAGAAAGCAGAUCAGUGGUUACCUGGGGAAGAGGAUGGGAGAGAAAAGGGGUAAGAGGAUCACCAAGGGGCAUGGAAAACUUUGGGGGUGAUGGGUAUGUUCACUAUUGUGAUUGUGGUAACCAUUACUUAUAUGUGAAAAUAUAUCAGAUCGUAUAUUUUAGACACAUGCAGUAUUAUAUGCCAUUAUACCCCAACAAACAAUACUUUAAUAAUAUAUCAUUUGUAUAUGAUUAAAGGUAUUUCUAAAAAUUAGCCUAUGUAACAUACUGAAAAUUAAAAAAAAUAUGUCUGGGAAAAAAUUAAUUCAAUAAAUAUAAUGGAGGACAAGACCAUCAGGAUUUUGGACUUUUAUAGAACCUGGAAGGUUCCAGAGAUCAUUUAACUCAGCAAUUGCAGACCUGGAAAACUGUUUUUAAAAAUACUCAGGACUGGCCACACCCCAACCAAUUAAGUAAGGAUUCCUGGGUGCGCAGUCCUGGCAUUGUUUUUUAAAGUGAUUCUAAUGUGCAGCCAGGAAUGAGAAGCAGUCAAAUCCAAACUCCUCCCUGACACAGGAGGACAGAGAAGCCCAGAGAGAGGGUGGGUUUGCCCCUGACCACACAGCCACUGGGUCCCAGAACCCAGGGAGGACAGCAACAGGAUCUCAACGCUACUGGGUCCUCAAAACCACAUUUUCAGCUCAAGCUAGGAUAGGGCAUCCCGUGCAUUUCAAGCAAAUUCUUGGCAUCCAGACACGCUCAGGGCCGACAGCAGGAAGAAUUACUCAGAACCUCAAAGGUGCAUUAUUUAAGGACUGUGCUAACACGUGAGAAGGGAUGUUUCAAAACGAAAGCUUCCUUUUGUUCCCUCAAAAAUAUCUGGUAUAAGCCAGAUAAUACUUACUGAAAGAAUCUCAGCAGAUGGCACCAGGCGCUCUGUGGGGGACAGGGGCAAGUUGUUACUUUAGGAACUGGCACAGUUCUCAGCGUUGGGAGGAGUCUAUGUGCACUAUAGGGGCUCUUCAUUGUGGUUUCCAGGUUGGCCCCAGGCAGAAGCGUGAGUGGGUGAAGUUUGUCUUCGUGGCUACUGCUGUUCUGUCUGUCUCUCACCUUGGCUCCUGUGUGGGUGCAGGGGUGCCCAUGGGACCACACAUCUCACCUGCUCUGCCUGGGCCAGCUAGCCAGGUUUUAGGUGGUUUCUCAGCUCCCUUCUCAUCCAAACAUGUCUGAUUUCCAGGGUCUCAUCCCCUCGGGGCUUUGCUUAUCCAUCUCUGGAAAACUAAUUAAAGUUAUGAUGUUAAUACACAAUAAUUGUUUUAAUGAGUUAUGUCCUCCUCACCCCCCAGUAUAUUAACUAGAUUCUAGCAAGAUAACAUAUCUGGGAAUUCUUUGAAAUGUUAUAUAAACAUAAUUACCAUUUUGGGCAAUCAGGAGAAUCAAAGUUUUAGGCGAAAUAUAUAAUCCCUAAAAAUUUCCAAGCAACCUGAUGGGGGAAAAUACACCAAGAUUGGGGGUUUGCCAUAGAAUUCCUCAAAUCACAUCCCUUAGGGAAUUCCCUACAGACUGUGGGGCCUCACAGAAUGCUUUUCCUGAAUUUGUCUAUUCUUUGUUCACUGCAUUUUGUGCUCAUUGGAGAUGGCAGCAUUUAUCUUUCUGGGAAACAGAGAGCCACCUUAAAGACACUACAGUGGAGAUAAAAUGUCAAGAAAUUCUGAACAUCUUUUCAUGUGCCUGUUGGCCAUCUGGAUGUCUUCUUUAGAGAAGUGUCUAUUCAUGUUUUCUGCCCAUUUCUUCAGUGGGUUAUUUGUUUUUCGGGUGUGGAGUUUGGUGAGCUCUUUAUAGAUUUUAGAUACUAGCCCUUUGUCCGAUAUGUCAUUUGCAAAUAUCUUUUCCCAUUCCGUUGGUUGCCUUUUAGUUUUGUUGGUUGUUUCCUUUGCUGUGCAGAAGCUUUUUAUCUUCAUAAGGUCCCAGUAAUUCACUUUUGCUUUUAAUUCCCUUGCCUUUGGGGAUGUGUCAAGUAAGAGAUUGCUACGGCUGAGGUCAGAGAGAUCUUUUCCUGCUUUCUCCUCUAAGGUUUUGAUGGUUUCCUGUCUCACUCUUAUGUGGAUCCUGAGAAACUUAACAGGAACCCAUGGGGGAGGGGAAGGAAAAAAAAAAAAAAAGAGGUUAGAGUGGGAGAGAGCCAAAGCAUAAGAGACUGUUAAAAACUGAGAACAAACUGAGGGUUGAUGGGGGGUGGGAGGGAGGGGAGGGUGGGUGAUGGGUAUUGAGGAGGGCACCUUUUGGGAUGAGCACUGGGUGUUGUAUGGAAACCAAUUUGUCAAUAAAUUUCAUAAAAAAAAAAAAAAAAGAGGUUAGAGUGGGAGAGAGCCAAAGCAUAAGAGACUGUUAAAAACUGAGAACAAACUGAGGGUUGAUGGGGGGUGGGAGGGAGGGGAGGGUGGGUGAUGGGUAUUGAGGAGGGCACCUUUUGGGAUGAGCACUGGGUGUUGUAUGGAAACCAAUUUGUCAAUAAAUUUCAUAAAAAAAUAAAAAAUAAAAAAAUAAAGGAUUAGGGCAUUUUACCCAGCAAAAAAAAAAAAAAAAAAGAAAUUCUGCUCACAGGGCUUUAUAAUUAUUACCUAGUUCCUCUUCUGCAUGGAAGGCUGGCACUGGCAGAGCAGCUUGCCUAGCCUUAGGGACAAGGGCCUCCUUCCUUGGGGACUCAGUACUGCAGCCUGAGGCAAGAGGCGCCCUCAGUUCCUGUAACUCUGGGUCCUCCAUAGCCCUUUCUUCCAUUAGGAAAGCUGAAAUUGGAAAGCUCUUGCUGGCAAGUGGCAGCUGCAUGUGGUACGUCUUGUCCCUAAAGAGGGGUGUGGCCAGGUAUGUAAUUAACCUUCCUCUGGGGAAGCAGAGUCUGCAGGCAGCCAGGAGUCCAGAGCCCUCUGGCUUCAUCUGUGAGUGAAGCAGCAAGGUGAGGAGGGAGAAGGUAAGCACCAUCCUGACUCCUGGGAGACGGGGAGACACGGGGCACUCAAGCUCAGGGGAAAGGAUUAGGCUAUUGGCAUCAGGGUGGCCACCAACACUGGUCCAAUGCUGCUGUUUGGAAGCCUGAUGUUUCCUCCUCUUGCCAUUCAGAGUUUCACCAAAAAUAAUUUUUUUUUUUCAAUGAGUGGCAUGAUUGCACAACUGGUAAAAUAGCUUUGUAUAACAGUGACAGAAUUUUUGGCUUCUUUGGAUGGGUUUUCUUUGAACAUUUCACCUUUGUUUUCACAAAUCCUCUUAGUGUGGAAUGGCUUAGUUCACUUGGACAUUUUUUUUAAGCCUGUGUCAUGACCUAACCCAGAUUAAUUUUUAGAUGCUGUCGAUGGCUUCCUCAAACUUUUAAAAAG
Molecule: long non-coding RNA, 5463 nt
Filed under: Lynx pardinus (Iberian lynx)
Lineage: Eukaryota; Metazoa; Chordata; Mammalia; Carnivora; Felidae
Source: RNAcentral